This 201-nucleotide long non-coding RNA is filed under the name Jatropha curcas. Its description in RNAcentral is "long non-coding RNA (JCUR_LNC003447)". The record is from RNAcentral. Lineage: Eukaryota; Viridiplantae; Streptophyta; Magnoliopsida; Malpighiales; Euphorbiaceae.
GAUGUCAAUUGCAGCCAAGUAAAUAUAAACUGUCCUUUCAUCUCAAUGGAUAAGUAAAGCAUACAAACACAGAUGCAAAUGAAGGUGAUAAAUAAGAAACUCUUCUUAUAAGAGCACCAACUUCAAUUUGUAGCUUUAGCCUUUACAGUGAUAGCAUUAGAAUCAUGCAGUACUUCAGUUUGCCUAUUUUCUUCAACAGCG